GGAUAUUGGACCAUGGGCGCAAGCCUUAUCCAGCCAUGCCGCGUGAGUGAAGAAGGCCCUAGGGUUGUAAAGCUCUUUCAACGGUGAAGAUAAUGACGGUAACCGUAGAAGAAGCCCCGGCUAACUUCGUGCCAGCAGCCGCGGUAAGACGAAGGGGGCUAGCGUUGUUCGGAAUUACUGGGCGUAAAGCGCACGUAGGCGGAUUGGUCAGUUAGGGGUGAAAUCCCAGGGCUCAACACUGGAACUGCCUUUAAUACUGCCGGUCUAGAGUUCGAGAGAGGUGAGUGGAAUUCCGAGUGUAGAGGUGAAAUUCGUAGAUAUUCGGAGGAACACCAGUGGCGAAGGCGGCUCACUGGCUAGAUACUGACGCUGAGGUGCGAAAGCGUGGGGAGCAAACAG
Molecule: ribosomal RNA, 399 nt
Filed under: uncultured bacterium
Lineage: Bacteria
Description: partial 16S ribosomal RNA
Rfam family: Bacterial small subunit ribosomal RNA
Source: RNAcentral